UGCAAGUCGAACGGAAAGGCCCUGCUUUUGUGGGGUGCUCGAGUGGCGAACGGGUGAGUAACACGUGAGUAACCUGCCCUUGACUUUGGGAUAACUUCAGGAAACUGGGGCUAAUACCGGAUAGGAGCUCCUGCUGCAUGGUGGGGGUUGGAAAGUUUCGGCGGUUGGGGAUGGACUCGCGGCUUAUCAGCUUGUUGGUGGGGUAGUGGCUUACCAAGGCUUUGACGGGUAGCCGGCCUGAGAGGGUGACCGGCCACAUUGGGACUGAGAUACGGCCCAGACUCCUACGGGAGGCAGCAGUGGGGAAUAUUGCACAAUGGGCGGAAGCCUGAUGCAGCAACGCCGCGUGCGGGAUGACGGCCUUCGGGUUGUAAACCGCUUUCGCCUGUGACGAAGCGUGAGUGACGGUAAUGGGUAAAGAAGCACCGGCUAACUACGUGCCAGCAGCCGCGGUGAUACGUAGGGUGCGAGCGUUGUCCGGAUUUAUUGGGCGUAAAGGGCUCGUAGGUGGUUGAUCGCGUCGGAAGUGUAAUCUUGGGGCUUAACCCUGAGCGUGCUUUCGAUACGGGUUGACUUGAGGAAGGUAGGGGAGAAUGGAAUUCCUGGUGGAGCGGUGGAAUGCGCAGAUAUCAGGAGGAACACCAGUGGCGAAGGCGGUUCUCUGGGCCUUUCCUGACGCUGAGGAGCGAAAGCGUGGGGAGCGAACAGGCUUAGAUACCCUGGUAGUCCACGCUGUAAACGGUGGGUACUAGGUGUGGGGUCCAUUCCACGGGUUCCGUGCCGUAGCUAACGCUUUAAGUACCCCGCCUGGGGAGUACGGCCGCAAGGCUAAAACUCAAAGGAAUUGACGGGGCCCCGCACAAGCGGCGGAGCAUGCGGAUUAAUUCGAUGCAACGCGUAGAACCUUACCUGGGUUUGACAUGGAUCGGGAGCGCUCAGAGAUGGGUGUGCCUCUUUUGGGGUCGGUUCGCAGGUGGUGCAUGGCUGUCGUCAGCUCGUGUCGUGAGAUGUUGGGUUAAGUCCCGCAACGAGCGCAACCCUUGUUCACUGUUGCCAGCACGUUAUGGUGGGGACUCAGUGGAGACCGCCGGGGUCAACUCGGAGGAAGGUGGGGAUGACGUCAAGUCAUCAUGCCCCUUAUGUCCAGGGCUUCACGCAUGCUACAAUGGCUGGUACAGAGAGUGGCGAGCCUGUGAGGGUGAGCGAAUCUCGGAAAGCCGGUCUCAGUUCGGAUUGGGGUCUGCAACUCGACCUCAUGAAGUCGGAGUCGCUAGUGAUCGCAGAUCAGCAACGCUGCGGUGAAUACGUUCCCGGGGCUUGUACACACCGCCCGUCAAGUCAUGAAAGUUGGUAACACCCGAAGCCGGUGGCCUAACCGUUGUGGGGGAGCCG
RNAcentral lists this ribosomal RNA (1392 nucleotides) under uncultured Propionibacterium sp. Its description in RNAcentral is "bacterial SSU rRNA". It matches the Rfam family "Bacterial small subunit ribosomal RNA". Lineage: Bacteria; Bacillati; Actinomycetota; Actinomycetes; Propionibacteriales; Propionibacteriaceae. The record is from RNAcentral.